RNAcentral lists this ribosomal RNA (756 nucleotides) under Triticum aestivum (bread wheat). RNAcentral describes it as "partial small subunit ribosomal RNA". Lineage: Eukaryota; Viridiplantae; Streptophyta; Magnoliopsida; Poales; Poaceae. The record is from RNAcentral.
AUGGCGGAGGAAUCGUGGAGCAACUCCCCUCCGUCUGCCAAGCGAAUGGCGGAGGCAUCGUGGAGCAACUCCCCUCCGUCUGCCAAGCAUCACCGUGGUGAGGCGUCUGGCAAGGAGCCGAUGGUGGUCGACGACGACGUUCCGGUCCCCGGGCAGAAGCUGGACUACACCGUGCCGCUCAAGGUUGAUACCCACCUGAAGGAGCCGCUGGAUGUCAUAUGCACCAGCAAUCCAGACGAAGCCAACAAGAGGAUCCGCGAGAUCAGGAAGGGGCUCGGUGGCAUGCUUCCUCGGUCGAUCGGCGUUGAUGUCGAUUAUACCAGCGAAGACGAACCUCCGCAAAUGGCUGCAGUUCUGCAGUUAUGCGUGGAGGAUCUCUGCCUGGUAUACCACAUCACCGCGGCAACCAAAUGGCCCAAGGAACUCCGCCCGCUCCUGCUGGAGAAGGAGCUGUACACCUUUGUUGGCUUUUGCAUUGGAGGUGACAAGGAGAAGCUGAAGUUGUCUGGUUUGGAGAUCAACCCCGACAACCUCAUCCACCCAUCCUACAAGAAAAUGAAGCAGAAGAUCAACAAUGAAGAGGACCACAAACUAUGGGGGAUCAGCCCACUGCCAAAGUACCUCAUCGAGUAUGCAGCGAAAGAUGCGUACGUCACCUACGAGGCAUGGAAGAAAAUCGAAACCACCAGAGAAGAUUUCAAGCAAUGGCGAGAGGCGGAGGAGCAUUGGGAUGACCCCUACUACUGGGGACAAUGA